CCCCCAGGGCCUCCCAGGAGAGGGGACUGUUCAUCUCGAGGUGGCACCUGGGCUGGCUGUGGGACCAUGGCGCUGCUCCGGGAACCUGUGGGAGCCUGGCUGGCCCUGGCCCUGGCCCUGGCCCUGGCCUUGGGCCUGAGCAUGGGUGCGGCCGCUCCGAGGCAGGAUUGCACGGGCGUCGAGUGCCCGCCGCUGGAGAACUGCAUCGAGGAGGCGCUGGAGCCAGGUGCCUGCUGCGCCACGUGCGUGCAGCAGGGCUGCGCCUGUGAGGGCUACCAGUACUACGACUGCUUGCAGGGCGGCUUUGUGCGAGGCCGCGUGCCCGCCGGCCAGUCCUACUUUGUGGACUUCGGCAGCACUGAGUGCUCCUGCCCACCGGGUGGCGGCAAGAUCAGCUGCCAGUUCAUGCUGUGCCCAGAGCUGCCGCCCAACUGCAUCGAGGCCGUGGUGGCAGCCGACAGCUGCCCGCAGUGUGGCCAGGUGGGCUGUGUCCACACUGGCCGCAAGUACGCUGCCGGCCACACCAUCCACCUGCCGCCCUGCCGGGCUUGCCACUGUCCUGACACCGGGGGCGAGCUCAUCUGCUACCAGCUCCCCGGUUGCCAUGGAGACACUGAGGCCAUGCCAGCUGCCUCCACCGGGAACUUCUCAGAUGCCGAGGAGGGUGACCCUGAGCGACACUAUGAAGACCCCUACAGCUACGACCAGGAGGUGGCUGAGGUGGAAGCUGCGGCGGCCCUGGCGGGCGAGCUCCAGGCUGGCGCAGGGGGCCCAGCUGCUCUGGGAGGCGGGAUUCGGCCACCAUCAGCCAUCCAGGCCACCCCUUGGCCGGCUUCCCUCCCCAGGCCCACAGUGGCUACUGCCUUGGGUCCCCCGGCCCCCAUGCAGGCCAAAGCCACGAGAGUGAUGGAGGACAGCCAGGAGGAAGGAGAGGAGGAGAGGGAGGAGUUGACGGUCAGGGAGCGGCCGGCAGCAGGUGGCCCCAAGGGGCUGGAUGGGCCACCCACCACACGCCCACCUGGGCCUGGUCUCCCUGUCCAAGAGGAGGUGGCAGAGGCCAGGGCAGGACCCGAAGAGAAUCUCAUCCCGGACGCCCAGGCCACUCCCCGCAGCACUGGGCAGGAGGGAGCUGGGCCCAUUCUACAAUCAAGCACGGCCAGUGUCCUCCCGUUGCAGGCCACACUGAGCUCUCCUGGGGGCCCAGUGGAGCCCAGCACCCAUACCAUCCUGACUGCAUCUCCGCACAAGGCAGCUCUGCUUCCACCCACCAAGGAAGGGCCCAAGCAGUCGCUGGUUCUACCCCGUCCUCGGCCAGACGAGGACACAGACCCCAACUCUGUCCAUUCUGUCCCCAGAGGUGACUCUGAAGUGUCCACGAAGGACCUGAUUGAGACGUGCUGCGCAGCUGGGCAGCAGUGGGCCAUUGACAAUGACGAGUGUCUGGAAAUCCCUGAGAGCGGCGCCGAGGGCGACGUCUGCAGGACAGCCCAGAAGCACUGCUGCCUGUCGUACUUGAAGGAGAAGAGCUGCAUGGCUGGCGUCGUGGGGGCCAAGGAUGGCGAGGCCUGUGGGGCCGAGGACAUCGACACCUGUGGCGUCUCCCUGUACAAGCAAUGCUGUGACUGCUGUGGCCUGGGACUCCGCGUGCGGGCCGAGGGCCAGUCGUGUGAGUCUAACCCCAACCUGGGCUACCCCUGCAACCACGUCAUGCUCUCCUGCUGUGAGGGUGAAGACCCCCUCAUUGUGCCCGAUGUCCGCCGGCCUCCAGAGCCCGAGGCUGUACCACAGAGAGUUUCCGAGGCAGAGUUGGUGAACCGGGAGGCCCUGUCGCUGGGCACGGAGACCGAGCUGCCCAACAGCCUGCCUGGUGAUGACCAGGAUGAGUGCCUGCUCCUCCCGGGGGAGCUGUGCCAGCACCUCUGCAUCAACACCGUGGGCUCCUACCGCUGUGCCUGCUUUCCCGGUUUCUCCCUGCAGGAUGAUGGCCGCACCUGCCGCCCAGAAGGUGACCCCCCGCAGCCGGAGGCAGCAGAGGAGUCUGCACUGAGGCCGGAAUCCUCCCAAAUGGCCCCCAACACCAUCCCGCUACCACUGCCACAGCCCAACACGUGCAAAGACAACGGGCCCUGCAAGCAGGUGUGCAGCGUCAUUGGGGACACAGCCAUGUGCUCCUGCUUUCCUGGCUAUGCCAUCAUGGCAGACGGCGUGUCCUGUGAAGACCAAGACGAGUGCCUGCUGGGUGCUCACGAUUGUAGCCGGCGACAGUUCUGUGUGAACACCCUGGGAUCCUUCUACUGUGUCAACCACACAGUGCUCUGUGCUGAGGGCUUUAUCCUCAGCGUGCACAGGAAGUGCGUGGACAUCAACGAGUGUGUGACGGACCUGCACACGUGCAGCCGCGGCGAGCACUGCGUCAACACGGUGGGCUCCUUCCACUGCUACAAGGCCCUCACCUGCGAGCAGGGCUACGCCCUCCAGGACGGCGAGUGCGCGGACGUGGAUGAGUGUGAGCAGGGCACGCACAACUGCCAGGCGGGCUUCACGUGCCAGAACACCAAAGGCUCCUUCUACUGCCAGGCGAGGCAGCGCUGCAUGGAGGGCUUCCUGCAGGACCCCGAGGGCAACUGUGUGGACAUCAAUGAGUGCACGUCGUUGUCCGAGCCGUGUCAGCCUGGUUUCAGCUGCAUCAACACGGUGGGCUCCUACACGUGCCAGAGGAACCCGCUGCUCUGCGGGCAUGGCUACCACGCCAGCCCAGAUGGGACCAAGUGUGUGGACGUGAACGAGUGUGAGGCUGGCGUGCACCACUGUGGCGAGGGCCAGGUAUGCCACAACCUCCCCGGCUCCUACCGCUGCGACUGCAAAGCCGGCUUCCAGCGGGACGCCUUUGGCCGGGCCUGCAUUGACGUGAACGAGUGCUGGACCUCGCCUGGACGCCUGUGCCAACACACCUGCGAGAACACUCGUGGCUCCUACCGCUGUUCCUGCGCCUCCGGCUUCCGGCUGGCUGCUGACGGCAAGCACUGCGAAGACGUGAACGAGUGCGAGGCCCAACGCUGCAGCCAGGAGUGUGCCAACAUCUAUGGCUCCUACCAGUGCUACUGCCGCCAGGGCUACCAGCUGGCCGAGGACGGGCACACCUGCACAGACAUCGAUGAGUGCAUUCAGGGCGCCGGCAUCCUCUGCACCUUCCGCUGUGUCAACGUGCCAGGGAGCUACCAGUGUGCAUGCCCGGAGCGGGGCUACACCAUGAUGGCCAAUGGGAGGUCCUGCAAGGACCUGGAUGAGUGCGCACUGGGCACCCACAACUGCUCCGAGGCCGAGACCUGCUAUAACAUCCAGGGUGGCUUCCGCUGCCUGCGCUUUGAGUGUCCCCCCAACUACGUGCGAGUCUCAGAAACGAAGUGCGAGCGCGCCACGUGCCACGACUUCGUGGAGUGCCAGAACUCGCCGGCGCGCAUCACCUACUACCAGCUCAGCUUCCAGACGGGCUUCCUCGUGCCGGCGCACAUCUUCCGCAUCAGCCCCGUGCCCGCCUUCGCGGGGGACACCAUCGCCCUGACCAUCACCAAGGGCAACGAGGAGGGCUACUUCGGCACGCGCAGGCUCAACGCCUACACGGGCGUCGUCUACCUGCAGCGGGCGGUGCGCGAGCCCCGGGACUUCGCCCUGGACGUGGAGAUGAAGCUCUGGCGGCAGGGCUCCGUCACCACCUUCCUGGCCAAGAUGCACAUCUUCUUCACCGCCUUUGCCGUGUGAGGUGCCCGACUGUCUCCCGGGGCUGCGCCCGUCGCGUCCCGGCGCCGCCGCCCGCACAGCGCUUUCCGCGGUCGCUCAACCCCGCGUGGGUGGGGCCGGGGUAUCCUGGCGGUUUUUACUCUAACUCUGUCAAUUAACUUAAUUUUGCUGACUCGGUUCCUGGGCCUCUCCUCCGCCCCGCCCCGCAGAGGGAGCUUGGCAGCCGGAGGUGUGUGGAAGCUUUCAGGGCAAUUCAAGGUCAG
Ceratotherium simum simum (southern white rhinoceros) is the source of this 4001-nucleotide non-coding RNA. NCBI's taxonomy places the organism in Eukaryota, Metazoa, Chordata, Mammalia, Perissodactyla, Rhinocerotidae. The record is from RefSeq and is a predicted model, not a curated record.